RNAcentral lists this long non-coding RNA (1401 nucleotides) under Parus major (Great Tit). Its description in RNAcentral is "lncRNA (ENSPMJG00000001190.1)". Lineage: Eukaryota; Metazoa; Chordata; Aves; Passeriformes; Paridae. The record is from RNAcentral.
CGGCGCGGAGCGCGCUGCCGGCGGGCGGGACGGACGGAGGGAAGGGAGGGAGGGAGGCGCUGGCUCCCCUGCCUGGUUUCGGUCCGCCGGUUCCGCGGCGCUGCUCGGGCAGCAGAGCCGCCGCCGAAGCAAAUGGGGAGGCGGCACUGAGCGGGCUGCCCUCCGCGGGAGUCGGCAUCCGAGGGCAGCGGCGCGGCGAGCGAGCAAUGCCCCUCACUUCUCUGCUUGCGCUGCCCUUCCUCCUCCCUCUCCCGGUUCUGAAGCUUUUGUUUUCCCCGACCGCUGUGAUGGCAGGAAACUUCCCGGAGGGAUGGGCUCAGGCCGGGCUUGUGCUGCGCCGGGCUCCGCAGGGCUCCGGCCACACCGUGAGGUUAUUUGGGAAGAGAAUAGUAAUUAGCUGAACAAAACAGCACAAGAUGACUUAUGAUUCCUGUUCGUCAUGGGAACCUGUCUGGAUUGGUACGCUUUGGGUUUUGUGUGUUGGGAUUUUUUUCUUGCUAAACUGACAUAUAGUGAUUGCAUGUGUAAUUCAAAGAUAUGCUUAAAAUUUAGGAAUCCAAUCUUUUAGGAAGCUUUCAACUUGUUAGUUGCAUGUUAAUAACUAGGUAAAGACUAUGAAUUAAAAUAGUAUGUUUUCUACAAUGUUCAAUGUUUGCUGUUGUUCAAGGUACUACAAUUCUCACUCAGCUCUUCAUCGUGAUUAUAGUUAAUGUGACCAUUGAACUAGUGGGAAGGUUAAAAGUCAGGGUAAAUAUGACAGAGCUAGGAAUGAACCUAGAACUGCCCAAAUCCUUUCACAUGAUCUGCAAAUUGAGAACAUAAUUUUUCCCAAGAGCUAAGAAAAUAUAAUUAUUUCUAACAUUUUGAAUAUUUAUGGUUUACAGUAGUGAUAAUGAUUACCAGGACUGACGUUUCUUGACAGUUAAUGGCUCUCUGAAUUAAGGUCAUAAGGAAAUAUCAUCAAGAGGGCAAUUAAUUGUACCAAAUGACCCAAAGCAGAGGUGACUGUUUCCCACAGCACUUUCCUAUGAAAAUUGCCACAGCAGUGUUUAUAGAGUGGAAAGAAGAACAAUUUCCUAAAUUAAAGUAAUGUCUCUUGUGAAUAGUUUUAUGGGUCAUCUACUCAUGCAGUGUAGUUGAUUAGUUUCAAUUUAGGUUAUAGGUAAAUAGGUAUUAAAACUGAAAACUGCUGGUUCCUUUUAGGUGAGUAAGAACAUUGUCCCUGCUGCUUUGUGCUGUGACUCAUUCUUUUCACUGGUGUUAGCAGAAAGGAUUCCAUUGUAACAUGUUCCUGCCUGUGCUUAAUUACAUAGGGAGCAAUGCUUGAUUCAUAUUUAGAGGGGUGUAUGUCCUGGGCUGCUUUGUAUGAUAAUGUGGUGUCAGCAUAUACUUGAGUAUUUU